GCUUAACACAUGCAAGUCGAGCGAUGAAGUUUCUUCGGAAAUGGAUUAGCGGCGAACGGGUGAGGAACACGUGAAGAAUCUGCCCUCCACUUUGGGAUAACACCGGGAAACCGGUGCUAAUACCGAAUAUUGAAACAUAAGUGGCAUCACUGAGUUUUGAAAGAAUUUCGGUGGAGGAUGACUUCGCGGCCUAUCAGCUAGUUGGUGAGGUAAUGGCUCACCAAGGCAACGACGGGUAGCCGGCCUGAGAGGGCGACCGGCCACACUGGGACUGAGACACGGCCCAGACUCCUACGGGAGGCAGCAGUGGGGAAUAUUGGGCAAUGGAGGAAACUCUGACCCAGCGACGCCGCGUGCGGGAUGAAGGCCUUCGGGUUGUAAACCGCUUUCAGUAGGGAAGAAGCGAAAGUGACGGUACCUACAAAAGAAGCACCGGCUAACUAUGUGCCAGCAGCCGCGGUAAUACAUAGGGUGCAAGCGUUGUCCGGAAUUAUUGGGCGUAAAGAGCUCGUAGGUCGUUUGUUACGUCGGAUGUGAAGACCUGAGGCUCAACCUCAGGCCUGCAUUCGAUACGGGCAAACUAGAGUUUGGUAGGGGAGACUGGAAUUCCUGGUGUAGCGGUGGAAUGCGCAGAUAUCAGGAGGAACACCAAUGGCGAAGGCAGGUCUCUGGGCCAAUACUGACACUGAGGAGCGAAAGCGUGGGGAGCGAACAGGAUUAGAUACCCUGGUAGUCCACGCCGUAAACGGUGGGCGCUAGUUGUGCGAACCUUCCACGGUUUGUGCGACGCAGCUAACGCAU
Molecule: ribosomal RNA, 801 nt
Filed under: uncultured actinomycete
Lineage: Bacteria; Bacillati; Actinomycetota; Actinomycetes; Actinomycetales
Description: bacterial SSU rRNA
Rfam family: Bacterial small subunit ribosomal RNA
Source: RNAcentral